AAAGACCUAUAGGACCUUCUCCUACAUCAC
RNAcentral lists this transfer RNA (30 nucleotides) under Phrynocephalus przewalskii. RNAcentral's name for it is "partial tRNA-Ala". RNAcentral also lists the same sequence under 1 other name. Lineage: Eukaryota; Metazoa; Chordata; Lepidosauria; Squamata; Agamidae. The record is from RNAcentral.